RNAcentral lists this small nuclear RNA (20 nucleotides) under Arabidopsis thaliana (thale cress). Its description in RNAcentral is "snRNA_11875". Lineage: Eukaryota; Viridiplantae; Streptophyta; Magnoliopsida; Brassicales; Brassicaceae. The record is from RNAcentral.
AAAAGGGUUUAAAAGAUUUA